GUAGGGUGCGAGCGUUAAUCGGAAUUACUGGGCGUAAAGUGUGCGCAGGCGGCUCUGCAAGUCGAGUGUGAAAUCCCCGGGCUUAACUUGGGAAUGGCGCUCGAAACUACGGAGCUUGAGUAUGGCAGAGGGAGGUGGAAUUCCACGUGUAGCGGUGAAAUGCGUAGAGAUGUGGAGGAACACCAAUGGCGAAGGCAGCCUCCUGGGCCAAUACUGACGCUCAUGCACGAAAGCGUGGGGAGCAAACAGGAUUAGAUACCCUGGUAGUCCACGCCCUAAACGAUGUCGACUAGUUGUUGGGGGAGUUAAAUCCCUUAGUAACGCAGCUAACGCGAGAAGUCGACCGCCUGGGGAGUACGGUCGCAAGAUUA
RNAcentral lists this ribosomal RNA (371 nucleotides) under uncultured bacterium. Its description in RNAcentral is "bacterial SSU rRNA". It matches the Rfam family "Bacterial small subunit ribosomal RNA", at positions 527 to 896 of the family's 1533-position model. The record is from RNAcentral.